This 97-nucleotide non-coding RNA is filed under the name Chitinophaga terrae (ex Kim and Jung 2007). The record is from RNAcentral. Lineage: Bacteria; Pseudomonadati; Bacteroidota; Chitinophagia; Chitinophagales; Chitinophagaceae.
GAGAGCCGUAUACACUGAGAGGUGUACGUACGGUUCGGAGGAGGAUUCUCGGAAACCUACCAUAGCAAUAUGGCAAGGCGCUGGGUUUCUAUCCUAC